AAGGAAGAGAAAGCAGAGGCAUGCGCGAGGAGCUGACUGCAAUCUGUUGGCCUCGCAUGACCGUCCUGUUCCUUGCUCUACGCUAACCAUCUAUCAUCUUGCAAAUAAACCCGUCCUAUCCGUAACGAUAUCAUAAAUCACAGGUAAAGAUGUAGCGAAGCAGAACUGUCGCACGAAACACGUUGACGCAUGAGUUCUCGUGGCACUGGUCAUCCAAUCUGAUGACGCACAAGGAGAACUGGCUUCGGAUGUAGCCCUCCGCCCCAAAGCUACUCAAAAAUCCCAGCGAAUUCUUGGAUGUGGGCACAUGCACUACCAACAUGGUCACUUCUGCAAGAAGGACACCUGCCCAAACAAGCACCUCGGAAAAUGCGUGAAAGGGGAAUGUGUGUGCCUCCACGCGGUUACAACGAAGACGACCGCAGCUACAACAACCAAGAAAAUGCGGAAGCGUGCACUGAAGAAGAUAUUACUGUGACAGAUGAUUCCGAAAAAAUAGCCGGAUGCCCGCCUUGAAAAACCAUUUCUAAAGCUGCUCCUUCUUGUAUAUUGCUGCAGUCUACUGUUAGCGAUGCUUGCCUGUA
This is a long non-coding RNA of Dermacentor andersoni, 584 nucleotides long. RefSeq lists it as uncharacterized. NCBI's taxonomy places the organism in Eukaryota, Metazoa, Arthropoda, Arachnida, Ixodida, Ixodidae. The record is from RefSeq and is a predicted model, not a curated record.